GACGAACGCUGGCGGCGUGCUUAACACAUGCAAGUCGAACGGUAAGGCCCUUCGGGGUACACGAGUGGCGAACGGGUGAGUAACACGUGGGUGAUCUGCCCUGCACUUCGGGAUAAGCCUGGGAAACUGGGUCUAAUACCGGAUAGGACUCCGGACUGCAUGGUCUGGGGUGGAAAGCUUUUGCGGUGUGGGAUGGGCCCGCGGCCUAUCAGCUUGUUGGUGGGGUGAUGGCCUACCAAGGCGACGACGGGUAGCCGGCCUGAGAGGGUGACCGGCCACACUGGGACUGAGAUACGGCCCAGACGCCUACGGGAGGCAGCAGUGGGGAAUAUUGCACAAUGGGCGCAGGCCGGAUGCAGCGACGCCGCGUGAGGGAUGACGGCCUUCGGGUUGUAAACCUCUUUCAGCAUCGACGAAGCGAAAGUGACGGUAGGUGCAGAAGAAGGACCGGCCAACUACGUGCCAGCCGCCGCAGUAA
Molecule: ribosomal RNA, 478 nt
Filed under: uncultured bacterium
Lineage: Bacteria
Description: partial 16S ribosomal RNA
Rfam family: Bacterial small subunit ribosomal RNA
Source: RNAcentral